Molecule: ribosomal RNA, 253 nt
Filed under: uncultured bacterium
Lineage: Bacteria
Description: partial 16S ribosomal RNA
Rfam family: Bacterial small subunit ribosomal RNA
Source: RNAcentral
UACAGAGGUCCCGAGCGUUGUUCGGAUUUAUUGGGCGUAAAGGGUGCGUAGGCGGCGGAGUAAGUUGGGUGUGAAAUCCCGGGGCUCAACCUCGGAGUGGCAUUCAAUACUGCUUCGCUAGAGUACUGGAGAGGAGGCUGGAAUUUACGGUGUAGCAGUGAAAUGCGUAGAUAUCGUAAGGAAGGCCGGUGGCGAAAGCGAGCCUCUGGACAGUUACUGACGCUGAGGAGCGAAAGCGUGGGGAGCGAACAGG